UUCCCGGUUGAUCCUGCCGGAGGUUACUGCUAUCGAGGUUCGACUAAGCCAUGCGAGUCGAAUGUAGCAAUACAUGGCGAACUGCUCAGUAACACGUGGACAACCUGCCCCUUAGGUUGGGUAUAAACCCGGGAAAACUGGGUAUAAUACCCGAUAGGUCUCGAUUGCUGGAAUGCAUCGAGAUUUAAAGCUCCGGCGCCUAAGGAUGGGUCUGCGGCCUAUCAGGUAGUAGUGGGUGUAGCGUACCUACUAGCCUACGACGGGUACGGGUUGUGAGAGCAAGAGCCCGGAGAUGGAUUCUGAGACACGAAUCCAGGCCCUACGGGGUGCAGCAGGCGCGAAAACUUUACAAUGCUGGCAACAGCGAUAAGGGAACCUCGAGUGCCAGGUUACAAAUCUGGCUGUCGAGAUGCCUAAAAAGCAUUUCAUAGCAAGGGCCGGGCAAGACCGGUGCCAGCCGCCGCGGUAACACCGGCGGCUCGAGUGGUAACCGUUAUUAUUGGGUCUAAAGGGUCUGUAGCCGGCCGGAUAAGUCUCUUGAGAAAUCUGGCAGCUUAACUGUCAGGCUUUCAGGAGAUACUGUCUGGCUCGAGGCCGGGAGAGGUGAGAGGUACUUCAGGGGUAGGGGUGAAAUCUUGUAAUCCUUGAAGGACCACCAGUGGCGAAGGCGUCUCACCAGAACGGACCUGACGGCAAGGGACGAAAGCUAGGGGCACGAACCGGAUUAGAUACCCGGGUAGUCCUAGCCGUAAACGAUACUCGCUAGGUGUCGGCCACGGUGCGACCGUUGUCGGUGCCGUAGGGAAGCCGUGAAGCGAGCCACCUGGGAAGUACGGCCGCAAGGCUGAAACUUAAAGGAAUUGGCGGGGGAGCACCACAACGGGUGGAGCUUGCGGUUUAAUUGGAUUCAACGCCGGAA
RNAcentral lists this ribosomal RNA (919 nucleotides) under uncultured Methanosaeta sp. Its description in RNAcentral is "bacterial SSU rRNA". It matches the Rfam family "Archaeal small subunit ribosomal RNA", at positions 1 to 923 of the family's 1478-position model. The record is from RNAcentral. Lineage: Archaea; Methanobacteriati; Methanobacteriota; Methanomicrobia; Methanotrichales; Methanotrichaceae.